GAGUUUGAUCCUGGCUCAGGACGAACGCUGGCGGCGUGGAUUAGGCAUGCAAGUCGAACGAGAAGCAUUUCUUCGGAAAUGUGGAGAGUGGCGAACGGGUGAGUAACACGUGAACAACCUGCCCUUACAUUCCGGAUAGCCGGCUGAAAAGUCGGAUAAUACGGGGGAGGAUCAUUUUAAGGCAUCUUAGAAUGAAGGAAGGCGCAAGCCGUGCAAGGAGGGGUUCGCGGACUAUCAGGUAGUUGGUGGGGUAACGGCCUACCAAGCCAACGACAGAUAACUGGUCUGAGAGGACGACCAGUCACACUGGGACUGAGACACUGCCCAGACUCCUACGGGAGGCUGCAGUCGAGAAUCUUGCACAAUGCACGAAAGUGUGAUGCAGCGACGCCGCGUGGAGGAUGAAGGAGCUCAGCUUCGUAAACUCCUUUUAUGGGGGAGGAAUAAAUGACGUUACCCCAUGAAUAAGCCACGGCUAACUACGUGCCAGCAGCCGCGGUAAUACGUAGGUGGCAAGCGUUGUCCGGAUUUACUGGGCGUAAAGGGUGCGCAGGCGGAUAUUUAAGUAGGAAGUGAAAGGUUGGAGCUUAACUCCGACAUUGCUUUCUAUACUGGAUAUCUUGAGUUUCGGAGAGGAAGAUGGAACGACACGUGUAACGGUGAAAUGCCUUGAUAUGUGUCCGAACACCCAUACCGAAGGCAAUCUUCUGGACCAAUACUGGCCCUGAGGCCCAAAACCUGGGUACCAAACACGAUUAAAAACCCCUGGUAGUCCCUGCCCCAAACAAAUUUCCCCUAGGUGUCGGGGAAAUUUUUUUCGGUGCCGCAGCUAACGCAUUAAGUGAACCGCCUGGGGACUACGACCGCAAGGUUGAAACUCAAAGGAAUUGGCGGGGGCCCGCACAAGCGGUGGAGCAUGUGGCUUAAUUCGAUGCAACGCGAAGAACCUUACCAGGGUUUGACAUGUAACUGCAAACUCCCGAGACGGAGUCGCUUUCGAAGGUGUUACACAGGUGGUGCAUGGCUGUCGUCAGCUCGUGUUGUGAAAUGUUGGGUUAAGUCCCGCAACGAGCGCAACCCUCAUGUUCUGUUGCCAGCGAGUAAUGUCGGGAACUCGGAACAAACUGCCUCUGUAAGGAGGAGGAAGGUGGGGAUGAGGUCAAGUCAUCAUGCCCCUUACACCCUGGGCUGCACACAUGCUACAAUGGUCGGUACAAUGGGCAGCAAUAUCGCGAGAUGGAGCAAAUCCCAAAAAGCCGAUCUCAGUUCGGAUUGGAGUCUGCAACUCGACUCCAUGAAGUCGGAAUCGCUAGUAACUGCCGGUCAGCAAUACGGCAGUGAAUACGUUCCCGGGCCUUGCACACACCGCCCGUCAAGCCACGAAAGUUGGUCUUUCCCGAAGUCGCCGUGCUAACCUUUUAGGAAGCAAGCGCCGAAGGAAGGGCCGAUGAUUGGGACUAAGUCGUAACAAGGUAAC
This 1477-nucleotide ribosomal RNA is filed under the name uncultured bacterium. RNAcentral's name for it is "16S ribosomal RNA". It matches the Rfam family "Bacterial small subunit ribosomal RNA". The record is from RNAcentral.